UGUCGUGAGAUGUUGGGUUAAGUCCCGCAACGAGCGCAACCCCUAUCUCUAGUUGCCAGCGAUUCGGUCGGGGACUCUAGAGAUACUGCCCCGGUUAACGGGAGGAAGGUGGGAUGACGUCAAGUCCUCAUGGCCCUUAUGCCCAGGGCUACACACGUGCUACAAUGGGCGGUACAAAGGGUAGCGAUGCCGCGAGGUGAAGCCAAUCCCAAAAAGCCGUCCACAGUUCGGAUUGGAGUCUGCAACUCGACUCCAUGAAGCCGGAAUCGCUAGUAAUCGUGGAUCAGCAUGCCACGGUGAAUACGUUCCCGGGCCUU
RNAcentral lists this ribosomal RNA (317 nucleotides) under uncultured Desulfobacterium sp. RNAcentral's name for it is "bacterial SSU rRNA". It matches the Rfam family "Bacterial small subunit ribosomal RNA", at positions 1063 to 1382 of the family's 1533-position model. Lineage: Bacteria; Pseudomonadati; Thermodesulfobacteriota; Desulfobacteria; Desulfobacterales; Desulfobacteriaceae. The record is from RNAcentral.